This 253-nucleotide ribosomal RNA is filed under the name uncultured bacterium. RNAcentral's name for it is "partial 16S ribosomal RNA". It matches the Rfam family "Bacterial small subunit ribosomal RNA", at positions 524 to 776 of the family's 1533-position model. The record is from RNAcentral.
UACGGGGGGGGCAAGCGUUGUUCGGAAUUACUGGGCGUAAAGGGCUCGUAGGCGGCCAACUAAGUCGGAUGUGAAAUCCCCAGGCUCAACUUGGGAACUGCAUCCGAUACUGGAUGGCUUGAAUCCGGGAGAGGGAUGCAGAAUUCCAGGUGUAGCGGUGAAAUGCGUAGAGAUGUGGAGGAACACCGAUGGCGAAGGCAGCCCCCUGGGUCAACACUGACGCUCAUGCACGAAAGCGUGGGGAGCAAACAGG